Anolis carolinensis (green anole) is the source of this 5501-nucleotide long non-coding RNA. RefSeq lists it as uncharacterized. The record is from RefSeq and is a predicted model, not a curated record. Lineage: Eukaryota; Metazoa; Chordata; Lepidosauria; Squamata; Anolidae. The transcript is spliced from 2 exons.
GGGUGUAUGUGAGUGAGUGAGCGUGUGUGUGUGUAUGUGUGUGAGAGAGAUAGCUCUGGCAAGGGAUAAAGACCAAACAACGUCCCUGUUUGCAUCUGAAAUCUCCAACUGUGGAAGAAAGGGGGUGUAAGAGGAAAUCCCAGCUCCUCCACCUUCCAAACAAGAAGAGGAAACUCAACGGGUUGCUCUGAGUUUUCCAGGUCAUAUGGCCAUGUUCCAGAAGCAUUCUCUCCUGAUGUUUCACCCACAUCUAUGGCAGGCACCCUCAGAGGUUGUGAGGUUGUUGGAAACUAGGCAAGUGGGGUUUAUAUUUCUGUGGAAUGCCCAGGUGGGAGAACGAAUUCUUGUAUAUUUGAGGAAAGUGUGAAUGUUGCAAUUGAUUGACUAGCAUGGAAAGGCCUCGCAGCUUCAAGGCCUCGCUGCUUCCUGCCGGGGGAAUCCUUUGUUGGGAGGUGAUUAGCUGCCCCUGAUUGUUUCUUGUCUGGAAUUCCCCUGUUUUCUGACUGUUGUUCUUAUUUACUGUCCUGAUUUUAGAGUUUUAUAAUACUGGUAGCCAGGUAUUGUUUAUUUUCAUGGUAUCCUCCUUUCUGUUGAAGUUGUCCACAUGCUUGUGGGUUUCAAUGGCUUCUCUGUGUAGCCUGACAUGGUGGUUGUUAGGGUGGCCCAGCAUCUCUGUGUGCUCAAAUAAUAUGCUGUGUCCAGGAUGGUUUAGCAAGUGCUCUACUAUGGCAGACUUCUCUGGUUAAUUUGCAGUUCCUUUCUUGUUCCCUGAUUCCUGUUUGGGCCAUGCUGCGUUUGGUGGUCCCUAUGUAGACUUGUUCAUAGCUGCAUGGUAUAGGGUAGAUUCCUGCAGAGGUGAGAAGAUCCCUUUUGUCCUUUGCUGAACAUAGCAUUUGCCGCCUUCCCAGACAGGAAGCAUCCAGGCCUUGAAGCUGAGAAGCCAUUCAAUGCUUAUCAAGGUAGCCAAUUGCAUCAUUCACACUUGCCUCCAACAUACAAGAGUUCUUUCUCCCACCCUGGAAAUUCUACAGAUAUAUAAACCCCACUUGCUUAGUUUCCAACAGCCCUCACAACCUCUGAGAUUGCCUGCCAUAGAUGUGGGUGAAACGUCAGGAAAGAAUGCAUCUGGAACAUGGCCAUACAUCCCGGAUCUCUCCCUGUGAGUGUGCUUUGCAAUCCCAGCCACACAAACGCGGGGGGAGACUCUCCCCCUGCCCAGAAGCCCUUCUCCACGGAAUGCAAAGCAAUGUAAAACAUUUCAGAAGUGCUGCAAGGGGGGAGGGAGGCUGUUGAGGGAGGAAAAGAGCCGUGAGGAUGUUGCUCAGAGAAGUUCCUCUGACUCCCAAGUGCCUCUCCCUCCCUUAACACCGUCCUCGUCUGGGAUGAGUUUACAACUCGGCGGCUAGAGGAGGGGAAGGCAGCCACAACAACCAGGAUCUGCGGGAUCUUGCAGCCUCCGGGCAGAGUUUGCAAAGGGCCACCCGGCAGCUCUGGCUCUGGCUUUGGUCUCCUUUCGCCUGGAAGGUGGCUGGCAACACAAAGCCUCAAGGAUUUCGCCCUGCUCCGCCGCCAGCCCUUUUCAGCGCCUCUGCCCCAGUUUGAUUUCACUGGAUCACUCAAAAUCACCACACCUUCCCAGAUCCUGGUGACACAGAAGCAGAGCAUCCAUUCCCAUUAUUACACAGGGAGGGCCAACCGAAUAGGAACCUGCCUUCUCCUCCUGCAUUCAUUCAUUUAUAAUUAUCAUCCUGUCUAUAUGUCCUUCUUUAGCAUCUCAGGGGAUAUGGUUUCAAAGCCCAUGGAGAAAGGGGCAGGCAUUGGCAUCCUUUCUAUCUCCCUUUUCCACACUGGGAGGGAAAUUGGAUAUGCAUUAAAUAAAUCGGGGGGGGGGGGGGGACUUGUGAGGCAAUCCAGGAAAUGGUGGAUGGCAACUUCACAUACUUUUGGGGAGGGCCCUAUCUGGAGGGCCUCCUGCAUCCCCCUCCCAUACUACAAAUCUCUAUGGGGUGACUUGAUAUAUUUCUGCUCUUCUGCGCUCGACAACCCUAUCAAAAUGAAUUUGAUCUGUUUCCCAAGGACUGGAAACCCAGGCACACUUUCAGAUUUCUUCCGAGGAAAGUAGAAAGCAAGUCUACACAGUGCCUGAACAGAAUCAAGGAACAGGAAAGGCACUGCAGACGAACUCAAUCAGAGAAGUCAGCUAUAGCAGAGCACUUGAUGAACCAAUAUGGACACAGCAUAUUAUUUGAGAACACAGAAAUGCUGGACCACUCUAACAACCACUAUGUCAGACUACACAGAGAAGCCAUUGAAAUCUACAAGCAGGUGGACAAUUUCAACAGAAAAGAGGAAAAAAUGAGAACACUCUAAAAACAAGGGAAUUCCAGACAUGAAACAAUCAGGGGUAGCUAAUGCCUCUUAACAAACAAUUCCUCCAGGCAGGAAUCAGCCAGGCUUUGAAGCUGCAAGUCCAUUCAAUGCUAAUCAAGGUGAUUAAUUGCAACUUUCUCACUUGCCUCCAACAGACAAGAGUUCUUUCUCCCAUCUUGGACCUUCCACAGAUAUAUAAACCUCACUUGCUUAGUUUCCAACAAACCUGGCAACUUUUGAGGAUGCCUGCCACAGAUGUGGGCGAGACAUCAGGAGAGAAUGCUUCUCGAACAUGUCCAUACAGCCCAGAAAACUCACAGCAACCCAGAAAGCAAUGUGAUUUUGAAAGAAAGAAAGACAAAAAAAAGAAGGAUUCAGCAUGGAGAACAGGGUAAAUACAUUCCCAAGCCAGAGCCUUCACAGAUUUGGGACUCUAGAUAAGUUCUUGCUCCAGUGCACAAAGAAUGUUUCUUUAUCCAUCCUCCCUCUUUUAAGGCCUAAAACUGUGCUCAUGUUUCAGAGUGGCUUCCUCAAGAACUACGGGUUCAGAGCUCGGUGUGUUAAGUUUCCAAAAAUCCAGAUGUGACACAUACGGGUUGAAGGCAAAACCAGAGGCUUUAUUCUCAGUGACCAAUGAGGAUGUCAGCACAGAGCGCACUCCAAAAAACUGACAUACCGCAAUUGCCAUACAUAGGUAUAUUUAUUGUAUUUUGACAGCUAUUCAAGAGGACCACACUAGAAAUGGGAUUUAGAAACUUGGUGGGCUUAUAUCAGAAUAUAUAAUUAAUGACUUUAUCAAUCAAAGGAAAAACAAAUAUACAAUUAGCCAAAAAAACCCAAGACUGGUUCAGGAAAUGGUUUGUGCUAAUUGACAAAAUAGAUGGAGACAACAGAUACAGCACCUUGAAACAGGCUUUCUACAUGGUUAAACUGAUGCAAUGACAAUAUUUAGAAUUGCUGUUCUAGGGGGGUGGGGGGAAUGAGGGGAGGGCAGGGGUAGUGGGUGAUACAUAUCUAUGGAACGUUUAAAAUGUCAUUUAAGGAAUAUUUACUUUUGGAAUAAUGUAUAAUGAAAUAAGUCCCAUGUGGCAAAAGUUUGUUAAAAGUCGGGAUGUAUCAAAUAAAAUUUAUAAAAAAAGAAGAAGACCACACUAGCUCCUGAUUGGUCCUGAAGUGUCUGGCUAGGAUCUACUCCAUGUUUGGUCUAGGGCUUCAUCCAGUGUCAUUGCUGAUCAGCUCCACAGUGGUGGGAAACUUGAAUAAAUUGUCAUUGAAUUAUUUAGAAAAGUGUGUCCAUUUAUUGACCCGCUCCUGAGAGGAAGGACACAAUCAGAAAGUAAUGUGGUGGAGGCAGUGAUAAUGUGCUGAAAUGGGUCUGGUUUGCUCCAGUUAAUAUAAUGGUGCCAGGCCAAAUAAACAAAAGGGUGCUUUAGGAUGUUGGCCAUUUCAAUGGGAGCCUCAAGAAUGGGUAUGGUUUGGUGACUCAAACAAGGAAGUGUUUCCAGGGAUAAAUCCAAUCGUAUCAGGGGAAACAGAAAAAGAUCCAAAGAUUACAUUAACCCAUUGUUUGUUCCCUGAGUUUUCUCUGGCAUUGUGAGAAGAUAAUUGGGGGAUUACAUCCUGAAGUGCGAGGUGUAGUAGGGCAACAUUCCAGAGCAAUUCACUAAAAGGUUGCUACAGGACAAAUGGAAAAGGCAAUGCAGGCUCACUGUCCCAAUGGAGCCACAUCUCCUAAUUCAUAAUUCUGGGAUCUAAUUUUCAAAAUCAAUAGAGCACCAAAACAAUUAUUUGGUUGACAAUCAGAUUAAUUUUGGUAAGGUCAGUUUCUGUUCUGGACAAGUUAUUAGAAAAGAGCACAUAUUUAAAAGACUUUUAAGAUGUGUAAUUGCCCCUAUCUCUCCCUCUGGAAAAGAAGAAUAAGAAUGCAAAAGAGGCCGUGAUCCAUACUGGAAAGCUCACAGCAGGUUCAGAAGCCUGUAUGUUCUAGAAUGAUCCAAAUGGCAUCUAAAGAUAUGAGCUGGAAUCAGAGACCACAAAUCAGGAAUCUGAUCCAGAAUUAACAAAUCCGGAUUAAGGCCGCUACAUUCAUUAGACAUCAGCAGAUGCAUUUGGUUUUCCUGGGAUGAUUCUGGUUAGAUUGAGAGAGUUGGCACAAGGACUCAAGUACAAUGGUCAGUCAUUAUGUUCUUUAUUAUAAGUGAGUUGAAAGUCCCUGAUGAACUGAAAAGAUUUCCAAAAUGUGGUGACUAUUUUGCAGAUCUUCAAUACAGUUUUUUUCCAUUUUGAAUAUAGUUUCCUUCCACAGCAAUAGUAAGAGUAAAAUGCUGGCAGUCUACCAUACACAGGAAAACCCGAGACAAGAGAACAUUCUGCUCCUCAGGCUCAUUUCAGAUUUGCCCAAGGUGUAUUUACACUGUGGAAUUAAUGCAAUUUGAAAUCACUUUAAAUCAGCCAUGGCCCAACACUAUGGAAUUCUGGGAGUCACAGUUUGGUGAAGCAUCAGCACUCUUUCACAGAGGAGGCCAAUGAUCUUGUAAAAUUGCAACUCUCACUAUUUUAUGGCAUUCAGCCAUGACAGUUAAAAUGGUGCCAAACUGCAUUAAUUCUACCAUGUAGAUGUGCCCCAGAGAGGGCUUGAGUCUUAUUAAAAAUGUAAAGCUUCUUUCUAGGGCAAAACCCCAGAAAAAAAUCAACUUAUGUAAGUCUUUUCUCAGACACCAAAGUCUAUAUAUCCAUUACUGUCGUGGAACAUAUCUUCCAUUCACAGAUCUUCAGAUUCAGCCCUUACAAUUUUGUCAUGCUGGUUGGAACUAAUGGGAACUGGCUUUCAUCAGUAAUGUUAGUUCCGCCAUUUUUCUGCUCUUACUUCAGAUAACGUUAGUAGAUUUUCUUUGGCUACUUAAACAUAUUCCAAUGAGAUUCCAAAAAGUAUAUUAAGAUCAAUUUGAAAAAAAAUGCUUUACAGGAUAAUGUUUUGAACCUGAAAAACUGAAUUUGUUAUUUUGCUCUGUUUGGAAACUGAAAUUCAACAUUGAACUACAGCUAGCUUUUAGCUUCUUGCAGGGGUUAUCUCACCUUAUUUUUAACAUGAAAAUAAGCUAAAGACUUCCAAGUAAAUCUGUUUGAGUAUU